UACAGAGGGUGCGAGCGUUGUUCGGAAUUAUUGGGCGUAAAGGGCGCGUAGGCGGUGCGGUAAGUCACCUGUGAAAUCUCCUGGCUCAACUGGGAGCUUGCAGGCGAAACUGCCGUGCUGGAGUGUGGGAGAGGUGAGUGGAAUUCCCGGUGUAGCGGUGAAAUGCGUAGAGAUGCGGAGGAACACCGAUGGCGAAGGCAGCCCCCUGGGCUAACACUGACGCUCAGGCACGAAAGCGUGGGGAGCAAACAGG
RNAcentral lists this ribosomal RNA (253 nucleotides) under uncultured bacterium. RNAcentral describes it as "partial 16S ribosomal RNA". It matches the Rfam family "Bacterial small subunit ribosomal RNA", at positions 524 to 776 of the family's 1533-position model. The record is from RNAcentral.